RNA transcript from Eurytemora carolleeae, 1154 nucleotides. RefSeq lists it as uncharacterized. The transcript is spliced from 11 exons. Lineage: Eukaryota; Metazoa; Arthropoda; Copepoda; Calanoida; Temoridae. The record is from RefSeq and is a predicted model, not a curated record.
CGUCCGUCUGCUAAAACAAACAGCUGAGAUGCAAACAUUACUCGUCAAGUUGUUUCUCUAUUUACAUAUAUUUCAAAAAUGUUGAAAGAGGCAGGAUAGUGGAGCAAGAUGCCGAUACAACGGGAACAUGUUCAGUUUGCUAUAAUAUUUUUGAGCCUGCCAUUGCAACUGUUUCUAACCAACUAUAUGGGUAGCAAUGAAGCAUCUAGAACAUACGCCAUCAGCAAAAUUGUGACACAGUUAAGUGAACUAAAGGACUCCUGGUUUAAGUUGGAUAACUGGAAGAUCUGGUGCUCUAAUAUGCUUUUUGACCAGCUUAUUGGAGGUUGGGCAGAUAUAGAUCUUGAGGAUCCUAAUGGAGAAUGUCCUGCAGUUGAGGUGUUUAAGUACAGGGACAAGAACGGACACUUUGGCCAGAGCCCGGAUCCAAGAGAAACAAGACCACCUGCUGUCAAGUAUAGAGUAGGUCAAGUGAUGAAGCAUGCAAGAUGGGGGUAUAGAGGUGUUAUUAUUGGCUGGGACGAGGAAGCUCGGGCCCCUGACUUCUGGUUAAAAGAGAUGCAUAAAGGAAAUAGGGGAUGGAGUUCUCAACCUAAUUACGCAAUACUAGUGGAUACUAGGGAUAGGCCUGUACCUCAGAUAACAUAUGUACCACAGGAGAAUAUGGAGAUAGUAAAGCAUACCAAGAUUCUUCAUCCUUCCGUUGACGAUUAUUUCGAGCAUUUCGACGGUUCUCAAUAUCUGCCCAGACCCUGGCUCAGGGCUAUUUAUCGUCGAGAUUAGGAGACCGUGUAAUCUACCGGAGGUGUUGCAUUGCUACUAAACAAUUGAAAAUAUUUUUAAUUGUACAUAAAUCAUAUGAAAUAUCAAGCUUACCGGGUUUUUUAAUCAUAUAUAAAUCUGUGAUAUUUAGAAAAUAACUCCACAACCAAUUCGAUAAUAUGACAGAAUUAAAAAAGUCUGGCGGAAUAAAUAUUAAUAUAGAAACAGAUUUGAUAGCAGAAAUUGUGAUAACUUUGCCUGUUAACAUAAUUGUACUUCACUGGACAUUCUAGUACACUACAGUACACUACAGUACACUACAGUACAGUGUAAAUAACAUCAUAUGAUCAAGUACAGAAUAGUUGUUUUGAUUUUAAAUUGAACUUAAGCAA